Molecule: ribosomal RNA, 441 nt
Filed under: uncultured bacterium
Lineage: Bacteria
Description: partial 16S ribosomal RNA
Rfam family: Bacterial small subunit ribosomal RNA
Source: RNAcentral
CCUACGGGUGGCAGCAGUGGGGAAUAUUGGGCAAUGGGCGCAAGCCUGACCCAGCAACGCCGCGUGAAGGAAGAAGGCUUUCGGGUUUUUAACUUCUUUUUACAGGGAAGAGCAGAACACGGUACCUGUCGAAUAAGCCACGGCUAACUACGUGCCAGCAGCCGCGGUAAUACGUAGGUGGAAGAGUUGUCCGGAGUUACUGGGUGUAAAGGGCGUGUAGCGGGGAUGACAAGUCCGUUGUGAAAUCCGGGGGGUCAAACACCGAACUGCAUUUGAAACUGUUCGUCUUGAGUAUCCGAGAGGCAGGCGGAAUUCCUAGUGUAGCGGUGAAAUGCGUAGAUAUUAGGAGGAACACCAGUGGCGAAGGCGGCAUGCUGGACGACAACUGACGGUGAGGCGCGAAAGCGUGGGGAGCAAACAGGAUUAGAUACCCUUGUAGUC